This 689-nucleotide long non-coding RNA is filed under the name Coturnix japonica (Japanese quail). RNAcentral describes it as "lncRNA (ENSCJPG00005019087.1)". The record is from RNAcentral. Lineage: Eukaryota; Metazoa; Chordata; Aves; Galliformes; Phasianidae.
UGCUUCAGUGAACAGAGGAUGAGUCACAGGCAGGCUAUGGAGGCACACAGAAGAACCACUGAGGAUCUGUCCUGUCAGAUGGUCUUCUGCCCUGCAAGCAACGUGACAUCCAUCACAACCAGUUAAUCUUCAUCCUGCAGCUGGACUUGAACUUCAGCGAACACAAACUAGAUCUGUGCUGUCUCUAUAUGAUGUGCGCUGCUACUUCAGUUGUUCACAGACAUAUUUCCUUUUAUUUGUCUUUCCUCAUUUCCAUGAUAAAAACAGCUUCCUGCUGCUCACAAGUAAAAAGAAACAGAUUGUGAUGAGACUUCAAUUUUUAACAAGAUUUACUGUGAAUUAAAUAACUGUUUCCUAUACAAAUGUUUAGGAGUUUGAGAAAUGAGUUUUCCAUCAGGAAGAUCAUCAGACCUAUAAAUGAAAAGUCAUACACUGAGAAUACUUUCCAAAAACCAGGUGAAAUAAGUAAUACAAUGUAACCGGAUAUCAUAGGCAGCUAUGGCUAUUCUAUAAGUUGGCUUUGAUCAGAGUGGUAUUUCCUGAUUUGUUUAAAACUAAUGCCAUGCAAACAGGACCUUCUUCUCCCCAGACCACCCCUUUCAUAAUUGCUCAUCCAUUAGCUCAUACAUUUCUUUUAAUAUUUAUUCUCCGCCUGUAUCCAGGCCUGCCAAAAUAAACACUUUGCACUG